Molecule: long non-coding RNA, 6625 nt
Filed under: Citrus x clementina
Lineage: Eukaryota; Viridiplantae; Streptophyta; Magnoliopsida; Sapindales; Rutaceae
Description: Citrus clementina (C. clementina) long non-coding RNA (CCLE_LNC004136)
Source: RNAcentral
AAAAAAGAGACUCAAUCAUGCAUGAGCUUUGCUUGGAGCUACUUGAAAGACCUUGCACCUAAGCUACUCUAGCUCUCUAUAAAUUCUAACUCUUCUUCACCGAAUGCAACGCGCAUCAAACAGAUAUAUAGCUUUGAAAACAACAAAAUGAAGAUUUCAUUAGCAACAACACUCUCUUUCCUUAUCCUUGCCUUGGCCUCAAACUCUUUGUUGGUCUUGGGCACCUCAUCAGUUCCUGAACCUCUCCUUGAUGUCCACGGAAACAAGGUCGAAUCCACCCUUAAGUACUACAUAGUCUCAGCCAUCUGGGGAGCUGGCGGUGGUGGAGUUAGCCUACACGGUGGCAGAAACGGAUAUUGUCCGCUGGACGUUAUCCAGUUACCUUCUGAUAUGCAAAAUGGAAUCGAAUUAACACUGUCACCGUAUAACAAUUCUACAAUUGUCCGAGAAUCCACUGAUCUCAACUUGAGAUUCUCAGUGUUGCUAUCUGGACGUGACUAUUGUAACGAACAACCGUUGUGGAAAGUUGAUAAUUAUGACGCGGCAUCAGGCAAAUGGUUUAUAACAACCGGGGGACUUGAUGGUCACCCUGGAGCUGAAACUUUGCUAAAUUGGUUUAAGCUUGAGAAAAUUGGAAAUUUUCCAGGUAUAUACAAAAUCGUUCAUUGUCCAUCCGUUUGCGAGUCUUGUGUCAAACUCUGCAACAACGUUGGCCGUUCGUUUGAGGAUGGCGUUCGACGUCUGGUUCUGGUUCGUGAUGAUGAGCCGGCAUUUCCUGUUGUGUUAAUUCCCGCUACAGAAAGAUCAACGUCUGUGUAAUCAAUGUACCCUAACCAGCUAGCGGUAUUAUUAUUCUAAAUAACGGACCAGGCUAGCUGCUCUUUAAUCUCUAGGAUUAAAAUUAUGAAUAAGUACCCUGUGAUCCUUUCGGGGUUAAUAAAUUCUACUGUUGGUGUAUACCUUAUGAAAAUCGAAAUCAAGUGUUCUUUGUUUUGAUUCACUGCUUCUUUUUUCUUUUCUUCUUUUUGGAAUUCUGUUUCUUGCCAUUAAUGGUGAUCAUUAAUUAGAGGUUAAAGCCACGUCUUGAUACUGAUCAUCGCAAGCUUGAAUAAGAGUGGAAAAUGCAAAAAGUCAGGUGAUUGAUUAUUUUGCCGACUAAUGUUUUAAUGGAUAAGCACCGACAAACUCUGUGGCAAAGAUUAAAUCACGAGUUUCUUAUUGUUACAUAUGCGUGUGUGUACAGUGGCGAAGCUCGCAUAUUUUUUUGGGUGGACUAUACUUUUUAAAAAAAUGAAAUUUAUUUCUUAAAAAAUUUGUUUUAUACAAACGAAAUUAAGCACACUACAUAACCAAAAAUCUAACCAUAAAACUACAAAAAAUAUAAUGUAAAUAAGAAAAAAAUUAUCAAAUAUUAAAUUUGUUUGUUUUUAUUUUUUAUAAAUAUUAAAAAAAUAAAUUUAUAAAUUAUAAUUUUUUUAAAAAAAAGCUAACCCGGGCCGCACCUUUAGCUUCGCCCCUGUGUGUGUAUGUAUGUAUGUAUGCAUUUUAUGUUAAUAAAUUUAUCUUGUUUCUUGAGGUUUACUUUAAAAAAAAACUGCGCACAAAAGUAUUAAUAAUUUGAAAGGGCGCGAUUCCUCAAAUUAUGAGGGAAAACAAAUUAUUAAUUAGCACAAAAAUAAAAAAUUGUGUGUGUGUGUGUGUGUGUGUACGCAUAUGUACAAGCGUUUACACGGCUAAGCUUUCAACUUCAAUUUAUUUUGAAUUUUUUGCUUUAUAGUUUCUUCAAUCUUCAAUUUAAUCUCAGUUAUUGAUUAAGAAAAAUUGAUCAUCAAUGAAUAUAAAAAUUAUUUCACUCAGCUUUUACCAAUCAACCAUUGUUUUUAAAAUUAUUAAGAAGAUAAAAAAAAAUUCAUCAAUCCACCUUUUUUUUUUCCUUAUUUUUGGAAUAAAAUGGAAUAAGUUGAGGAUUACAAUUGUUUGAGACAUAUUUUAAAGAUCAUCAUUGUAUGAAGAGGGUAAUCCACAAUUUACCCCUCAAACAAUUGCUGAAAUUUAGCAUUUGAUCUCAUAAAUGAAUAAAAGUAAAAUUUACCUUACUCAUGUCAUUGCUUAAGAGAUUUAAAAUAACUUCAAUUUUUUUUUUUUUUUUGACUUAGUGCUCUCACCUUCAUAUUUAUGUGCAUAUUUAAGAUUUCCUUGGAUGAAAAGCAAUGCUUCUUGUGGCUAUAAUAUUUUGGGAUGGAAGAGCGUAAAAUAAGGAUAGAUAACUUUCUCUUUAAUUCCUAGGGUCUAUGCUAGUUUUAGUCUUUGUAUUUUCAAAAAAUCAUCCAAAACUUCUUGGUUGUUAGUCUCUCAUAGUUGGAUUUACUUUAAUUAGAUAAAAUGGUAGUUUUGUUAUAAUAAAACUUAAAAUUCAAAUAAAUUUUACGUGAUACAUUUUGAAACAUAUAGAAAUAAUAAGCGUAAUUUAACAACCUAAGGGUACUUGACAUUCUAUUUGGGUAACCACUCGAAUUCGAGUCUUGGGGAGGUAAGAACUAGUGCAUAUCAUGUAGUAAUCUUUAUUUUUACCAUAUGUUAUAUUAUAAUAGCCAAAAUUGAAUAGGAUAGUUUUACAAUGUGAAGGGGGAGAGUGAGAGAAAGAAAUGUUAGGACAAUAAUAUCUUGGUGAAAACUAUCACUUACAAUUUAGGAACAUUCAUGUUGUAUUGCCAAGAAUCAAUAAUAAAAAUAUGCGAAAGCAUAUCUGAAUCAAUAAUGCAUGAUUAUUCUGUAAAGUCAUAGUUAGCCUUCCAAAUCAAAACUUUCUUCUAGAGAAUCCUUUAAUUUUCUUUGUACACUCUUUUUGAUGAUAGGAUGUUGUUGUGCAAAUUUUAUUGAACUCGCAAGCGCACAAAUCUAUUGUAGAAUAGACUAAUGGUGACGAGUGUCGAUCUUACGAGGAGAUGGAUUUUAAUUGUGUAUAAAAUUAAUUUUGUAAAUGGGUGGUUGGAUCUCUGGUGAAAUUGAUUUAGAAUAUUCUAAAACAAAAAAAUAUUUUCAUACUUUUAAAUUUUUAUUAUGAUUUAGUAAAAUAUUUUCGUAUUAGAAAAAAAUUCUAAUUUCUUAUAGAGGUCAUGACUCUUAUUACAUGAUAAGGUAGUGUCAUCUCACUCGCACAUAAAUGCCGCUCUAAUAUUACAUUGAAGCUCAUGAAUUUAAUUUAUAAUAAAACACCAACUCAAUAAUUACGAGUCAUUUUAAGCUAAUAAUAUUAGCUUACAAAUAUUCUUAGCCAAUGUGUGAUUUUUUCCUUUGCGUAGGACGCGCCAAACCUGGCAAGUGGCAGGUCAUUAUUGAACGGAGAAGGAGAAAGGGACUCUUGAACUUAGAAAAUGGCAAGUCCUCUAUUGUUAGGCCCACCACCUGUUCAUGCCCCCACAAAAUUCUUUUACCUACUGACGACUAUUAGUGCGGAAACAAAUCAUUUUUAUGUAAGUGGCUAGUUAUUUUUCAUUACCAGCUUUAAUUAAUGUCAAAAACGUCAAAACGUCAGAUGAUAUAUUGCCGAUUGGAUAAGUAACCACCAACUCUGUGGCGAAGAUUAAGUCACGAGUUACUUAUUUUUAUUAUCUCUGUUUGUCAAUUUUUUUUUUUAUUUUGUACAUAUUUCCUCGGUUAUCUUUUUUGCAUAUUCUGUGUAUUUACAAAUUGUGAUGUCUAUGGUUUUGUUAUUUCGCACGUUCAAUUGCUGAUGCAUACAUAUAUUCGAGUGUGGACCAUCAUACAAACUAAUAAUUCUCUGAAGUCGCUCUCAUCCAAAUGAAUUGGAGUAUCAGAUACAAAUAAUUGUAAUAAGAUACACAUGAUGAAUACUUUGUAUAAGAUACAAUAAUUUGAUAGUUGAAUUUACACUCUGAGUUGAGUUGUGCUCAUUUUCUCAUAAUUUUUGUGUUUUGUACAUAUUUAUAAUUUGUACCUUUAAGUUUUAAUUACUUUUAUGGUACAUUUAUUAAUUGUUAAUCAGAGUAGAUUUGAAUAAAAAUGAAUUAGAAUAGGAAUGAUAAUUAAGAAUAAAAAUAAAUUAUUUACUUCAGUUAUAGGAAUCAGAAAUGAAAUAAGUAUAUUCUCAUUUAUGUGUUUAACUUAUUAAAAUACCCUUAGUUUAUCAUUGUCAUUAUUUUUAUUAUUUAUUAUAAUAAUUUUCAUUAUUAUUAUUAAAAAUUAUUGCUAAUAAUAAUAACCAUAAUAAUUAUAAUAAUCAUAACAAUAAUAUAUAUUUUUAUCCAAUAAUUAUCAAUUAAAUCUUUUUUAAAAAAUGGGCAAAAUAUUCCGAACUAUAAUCAAAUCUCUUAAAUCUGGCAUUAUUGCCUUUUCGUAAGAAGCCACGGUUCUUUCAAUAUCGACGUACGAAUUUUCAUCUUGUCAAUAUAUUACAGCAUGAUUAUUGUCGUGAAUUAUUAUUUAUUGUACCAUGGCUUUUGCCUUAUAAGUAAGAAUCGUCAUCUUAUGCGACUUUUGAAUAAAUUGUUGUGUGAAUAAAACAAAACAAAAAAGAUAAAUAACUGUUAGCCAUUUCUGGAUUAUAAUUAUCUUCGCAUGUCAAUGUACUACCUAGUUCAAUAUGCGAGGUGAAUUUCAUCCCAUUGUAAUUGCAUAUUCUAGAGGCAGUUGGGUUUAAAAUAUUACGGUUCCACGUCCAUGUAAUUCAAAACUUUGCAGUGGGCCACUUUAUGAAAGAUUAAAAAAGAAAAAGAAAUAAAAGAAAGGAUUUUUCCAAUUUACUUCUUAUAAGAGAUUUGGACGUGUACAAAAAUUUGUUUCUUAUUAAUCGAUCAGAUAUGAUUCUUACCAUAUUUGCAUCGCAAGUAAUUCAAUAUUGCAAUUAACGGAUAAUGAGUAGGAUUUCUUAUUGGAUACUUACCAUCCCCGCCCAGGAUGACAGAAAUUUCAAAACCUUGAUCAAGAUUUGUGAUCCCAUGGCGAUAGUAUUUGGCCCAUAAUUUUGAGUAUUGAAUGUAGGGAAGUUGGAAUUCAAUAUCGAAAUUUAUCUAUUUGAUAAUCAGGAUGACAAAUCCAAGGAUAUUUAAUCAAAUGUUUUUCAAGCAAUUUUAUUUGAUUGAUCACUUGAGUUCAAGUUUUAAAGAAGCAAGAAUUAAAUUAAAAAAUUGAUUGGUACUUUGUCCACCUUUUGCUUUUUUAUUAAAUAAUUUUUUAUGAAAUUUCAGACACUGGAAAAAUCCUAAUCAUGAUCGCAUUUCAACAGAUAACUUUUCCAAUUUUUAGUUAUACGUUAGUUUCUAUUCAAUUUGAUAUUUGUCAAUUAGAUAUUUGGGAAAACAAUUGCACUGGAGAAUGAAUCAUUUUAUUUUGUAUAUAUUUGGGUGUUAAAUGUUUACAUUGGUUAUAAUUUUCGAAAAAUAAAUGUGACUAGAUUAACAAGUGUUUCACAAAAUAUUUCGGAACACAUUUUCUUAAGAAAAAAAAUUUAAGUUCUCAAAAUUAUUAUUCGCUUUAGUUGUUUGCCUUAUGAAACAAUUUUUUUUCCCCUAAAGGCAGACACGAUUAAUUACUUGAUUUUUUUCAAUAUAUUACAUUAGAUAGUAUAAUAAAAAUACUAAUAAAUAGAUACACUACAAAUUGUUUAAUGAAUUCGAACCAACUAUUUUUAUAAUAAAAAUACGAAAAUGGUUUGAAAGAAGUCAAACCAAACAAAACCUAGUUUUAGAACCAAACUAAACCGAAAUAUUUCAUUUCGGUUUGGUUUGGUUCAUAAAUUCGAUAGGUUGCUAUGUUUUAUGGCUCGUCUUCAGAUAGAAGGUUGAAUCACACAGGAAUGCAAGUUCGACACCAAAAAUUAAUUUGAAUAAAUAAACGAAAUAAAAAUAUCGUUAUCAUGCAUGAGUUUGGGAUAAAUGUUAAGAAAUUGACAAUUUGAAUAAAGAAAAUAAGAAAAAAGAGACUCAAUCAAGCAUGAGCUUUGCUUGGAGCUACUUGAAAGACCUUGCACCUAAGCUACUCUAGCUCUCUAUAAAUUCUAACUCUUCUUCACCGAAUGCAACGCGCAUCAAACAGAUAUAUAGCUUUGAAAACAACAAAAUGAAGAUUUCAUUAGCAACAACACUCUCUUUCCUUAUCCUUGCCUUGGCCUCAAACUCUUUGUUGGUCUUGGGCACCUCAUCAGUUCCUGAACCUCUCCUUGAUGUCAACGGCAACAAGGUCCAAUCCACCCUUAAGUACUACAUAGUCUCAGCCAUCUGGGGAGCUGGCGGUGGUGGAGUUAGCCUACACGGUGGCAGAAACGGAUAUUGUCCGCUGGACGUUAUCCAAUUACCUUCUGAUAUGCAAAAUGGAAUCGAAUUAACACUGUCACCGUAUAACAAUUCUACAAUUGUCCGAGAAUCCACUGAUCUCAACUUGAGAUUCUCAGUGUUGCUAUCUGGACGUGACUAUUGUAACGAACAACCGUUGUGGAAAGUUGAUAAUUAUGACGCUGCAUCAGGCAAAUGGUUUAUAACAACCGGGGGACUUGAUGGUCAUCCUGGANNNNNNNNNNNNNNNNNNNNNNNNNNNNNNNNNNNNNNNNNNNNNNNNNNNNNNNNNNNNNNNNNNNNNNNNNNNNNNNNNNNNNNNNNNNNNNNNNNNN